UGGUUAUGGCAUAGACGACUAGGUCACGUUGGCAUGAGAAACCUUGACAAGCUUAUUAAAGGAAAUCAUAUCCUUGGAGUUAAAGAUGUCAUAUUUGAUAAGGAUAGACUUUGCAGUGCUUGUCAAGCAGGUAAACAGGUUGGAGGAAGACAUCCCGUGAAGAGCAUCAUGACCACAAGGAGGCCACUCGAGCUACUUCACAUGGAUCUUUUUGGUCCCAACGCCUACAAGAGUCUCGGUGGAAAUUCUUUUGGUCUAGUUAUAGUUGAUGAUUUUUCAAGAUUUACGUGGGUGUUCUUUCUUAAUGACAAAUCGCAGGUCUAG
Molecule: ribosomal RNA, 324 nt
Filed under: Triticum aestivum (bread wheat)
Lineage: Eukaryota; Viridiplantae; Streptophyta; Magnoliopsida; Poales; Poaceae
Description: partial small subunit ribosomal RNA
Source: RNAcentral